CGUGUAGGCGGCUAUGCAAGUCGGGUGUGAAAGCCCUGGGCUUAACCUAGGAAGUGCACUCGAAACUGCAUAGCUCGAGUCCCGGAGAGGAUGGUGGAAUUCUCGGUGUAGAGGUGAAAUUCGUAGAUAUCGAGAGGAACACCGGUGGCGAAGGCGGCCAUCUGGACGGGUACUGACGCUGAGACGCGAAAGCGUGGGUAGCAAACA
This 207-nucleotide ribosomal RNA is filed under the name uncultured bacterium. RNAcentral's name for it is "partial 16S ribosomal RNA". It matches the Rfam family "Bacterial small subunit ribosomal RNA", at positions 568 to 774 of the family's 1533-position model. The record is from RNAcentral.